Molecule: long non-coding RNA, 1876 nt
Organism: Brassica napus (rape)
Lineage: Eukaryota; Viridiplantae; Streptophyta; Magnoliopsida; Brassicales; Brassicaceae
Exons: 3
Source: RefSeq, a predicted model, not a curated record
CCUUCCUCCACAUCACCAUCUAGCAUGGGGCAAUUUGUGACACCUGUCCUCUCCUCUUUACGUGAUCACUGAGAGUUUUUUUCAAAACUUUUUGGGCUACUAAUUUUUAUUUUUCUGUGGGCUCUUACCAACUGGCCCAUCUUCUUUAGGGUUUCUAGCUCCUGCUAUCAGGAUUUGGCUCCUCCACUCACUCUUCGUCUCUUUGAAAGUCAAAGGAGAGACUCUCCGCUUGAGACUCUCAACUAUAAAACGGUCCCUUCUCUGCGAUGAAUAGCCACAGUUAUACGGGAUCCCUAAUAUGUUUUUCCUGGAUGAGAAGGUAAGUCCGGCGAGCUCUGUCUUCGUUUUUAUAGAUUCUUACAUAGAUUACGAGUCCUCUCUUGGAAUUCAAUUACGUUUUCUCCCCACGAAGACUAUGUCUUUGGUUUUAUCUUCUAUCUAAGUCAUAUGGAGUUUGCGUCUCCGACUACGUAACGCUUUUACUUUUUCGCCAUAGACCACCAUAUGUGCACCUUGGACGACGUUACCAUUAUAUUUCAGUUAAGUGAUUGCUCUUGAUGACUUCAUUCAAUCCAAGCAGCUCACUAUUUGCUCAUCCAUUCAUCUUCUCUGCCUUCAUUAGAUAUUUUAUUCAGUAUAUAUAUUCACCCGUAGGGCGUCUUAGCCACAACUCAUCAUUUUGCAGUCUACCUUUCUAACCAUUAAAUCAUUAGUUCUAGAUUUUUUUUUUGGAUUUCAGAGUCCCAGAUUCUCAUGUCCUGCAAAUUCCAAUUGUUUAUUAUAUUCCUGUGAAAAAAGAGACUGAUGAUUGUUUUGAACAAAAGCUUCGCAAAUAAAGUUUCAAGUUUCAAUCUUUAUCCUUUUUCUCUCCUUAAUACUAUAAAUAUGGCUUUUUCUCCAAAUUAGUAAAAUGAUGCUAAGUGGUCACGGUAGCGGUUGAUGCAUCUUUUUCUGUUUUAUUGACGCUUUGUUUAGACUUCAUGAUGAUUUGUUUUUGGACUUGAGGAAAGAAUCGUUCACAUGUGCGUGACUGCCCAAAAUUAUGUUAUGUAUCUAAGCAUAGAUAAAAUAUUUUUCCCUCAAAGCUUGGUUUGUUUCCGUCACAUCACAAUCUUCAUGUCCCAUUUCUUCAUUGAACAACUCUUCUAUCUAAGUCAUAUGGAUCUCGCGUCUCUAUCUACUUUGAGAGUCAUAUAUUGAUAUAUAUUAGAUUAACUUUGUAUUCCAUCCUCUAGAAUGAAGUUACCUUAUACAGUGAUACUUGUCUUCUCUUCAUUUUUGGUCUCAGUUUCUUUUUCUGUGAAUCGACUUGAUAUAAAUUUUUCCUUUACACAUGUAGAUUGUUUUCCUGACUGGUGCUUAAAGAUAUAGCUCUGGUGUAUUGAAUUCUCUUUAUGCAAGAUUUACUCUCUUAAAAGGAUAGUAGACAAAGGUCAUGACGGUUGGAAACUCGGUAGAGAGUUGCAAAGAUGAGUCUAAGCCUCAAAACUGUUUUGAAUAGAAGUGGGAAGAUGCAGAGCCAAGGGCCCGGAAAAUAGGAAGAAGAUAACAAUGUCCGUGAGCUGUUCUAUGAUACAAGAACCAGUGAGGACUCGGAAAAAUAAAAUGAUGGAAACCAUUCUUGUGGAGUUCUGAUUGAGACUGGAAAGAAGCUACGAUUUUAUAACAUCAAUGCUAAUAGUUGUUCUCCUGAGAUAGUUUUCAGGCGUUUUAUAUAGACAAGCAUGUUAUAAGGAGAACACUUAUCAUGUUGUGAAAGGACAUGUGUCCAUGAAGGUGUGACAGUCCAGGAGAAGUUCAAUAUUCGUUGAGAAAGAUUCUUUGUAUUGUACCUUUUUGGGGAUUUGUAAUAUAAAGCUAACAUAUUCUUUGAUUA